AUUGAACGCUGGCGGCAGGCCUAACACAUGCAAGUCGAGCGGAUGAAGGGAGCUUGCUCCUGGAUUCAGCGGCGGACGGGUGAGUAAUGCCUAGGAAUCUGCCUGGUAGUGGGGGAUAACGUCCGGAAACGGGCGCUAAUACCGCAUACGUCCUGAGGGAGAAAGUGGGGGAUCUUCGGACCUCACGCUAUCAGAUGAGCCUAGGUCGGAUUAGCUAGUUGGUGGGGUAAAGGCCUACCAAGGCGACGAUCCGUAACUGGUCUGAGAGGAUGAUCAGUCACACUGGAACUGAGACACGGUCCAGACUCCUACGGGAGGCAGCAGUGGGGAAUAUUGGACAAUGGGCGAGAGCCUGAUCCAGCCAUGCCGCGUGUGUGAAGAAGGUCUUCGGAUUGUAAAGCACUUUAAGUUGGGAGGAAGGGCAGUAAGUUAAGACCUUGCUGUUUUGACGUUACCAACAGAAUAAGCACCGGCUAACUUCGUG
RNAcentral lists this ribosomal RNA (484 nucleotides) under uncultured bacterium. Its description in RNAcentral is "partial 16S ribosomal RNA". It matches the Rfam family "Bacterial small subunit ribosomal RNA", at positions 30 to 507 of the family's 1533-position model. The record is from RNAcentral.